CCUACGGGAGGCUGCAGUAGGGAAUCUUCUACAAUGGACGAAAGCCUGAUGGAGCAACGCCGCGUGGGUGAAGAAGGUCUUCGGAUCGUAAAACCCUGUUGUUAGUGAAGAAAGUGCGUGAGAGUCACUGUUCAUGUUUCGACGGUAUCUAAUUAGAAAGCCACGGCUAACUACGUGCCAGCAGCCGCGGUAAUACGUAGGUGGCAAGCGUUAUCCGGAUUUAUUGGGCGUAAAGGGAAUGCAGGCGGUCUUUUAAGUCUGAUGUGAAAGCCUUCGGCUUAACCGGAGUAGUGCAUUGGAAACGGGGGGACUUGAGUGCAGAAGAGGAGAGUGGAACUCCAGGUGUAGCGGUGAAAUGCGUAGAUAUAUGGAAGAACACCAGUGGCGAAGGCGGCUCUCUGGUCUGUAACUGACGCUGAGGUUCGAAAGCGUGGGUAGCAAACAGGAUUAGAUACCCGUGUAGUC
RNAcentral lists this ribosomal RNA (465 nucleotides) under uncultured bacterium. Its description in RNAcentral is "partial 16S ribosomal RNA". It matches the Rfam family "Bacterial small subunit ribosomal RNA", at positions 338 to 795 of the family's 1533-position model. The record is from RNAcentral.